This is a non-coding RNA of Sus scrofa (pig), 1896 nucleotides long. The record is from RefSeq and is a predicted model, not a curated record. Lineage: Eukaryota; Metazoa; Chordata; Mammalia; Artiodactyla; Suidae.
GACUCCGCACACGACGCCCGCGCGCCAGGCUCCCGCUUGCUGCCGGGCUCGCGCCGCAGAGGCCGGUGAGGCGCCUGCGGCCACGCGGUGGAGGGUGCAGGCCGACGGUGCCGGUCGUCGGGGCGCGCGCGCCACGCAUGGAGGCGGCGCGGGCGGCUGCCUAAGGGCAGUGGGGCCAGUGGAGCGGCUACCUUGCGUAUCCGUCGAGCGGCCUCGAGCCCACGGCAGCCGGCGGCGGCGGGCCGCGGAGCCGGCGCGGCCAUGGCGACGGGCACUCAACAGAAGGAGAACACGUUGCUUCACCUCUUCGCCGGCGGGUGCGGGGGCACGGUUGGUGCUAUUUUCACUUGUCCGCUGGAAGUCAUUAAGACCAGAUUGCAGUCUUCAAGGUUAGCUCUUCGGACAGUCUAUUAUCCUCAGGUUCAUCUGGGGACCAUCAGUGGAGCUGGAGUGGUGAGACCAACGUCAGUGACACCUGGACUCUUACAGGUUCUGAAGUCAAUCUUGGAGAAAGAGGGACCAAAGUCACUUUUUAGAGGCUUGGGUCCAAAUUUGGUUGGAGUUGCACCGUCAAGGGCUGUGUACUUUGCAUGCUACUCCAAAGCCAAAGAGCAGUUCAAUGGCAUUUUCGUGCCCAAUAGCAACAUCGUGCACAUUUUCUCCGCUGGCUCUGCAGCUUUUGUCACAAAUUCCUUAAUGAAUCCUAUAUGGAUGGUUAAAACCCGGAUGCAGCUAGAACGGAAGGUCCGAGGCUCCAAGCAGAGGAACACGCUCCAGUGCGCCCGCUACGUGUACCAGACGGAAGGCAUCCGGGGCUUCUACCGGGGGUUAACGGCCUCCUAUGCUGGAAUUUCAGAAACGAUCAUCUGUUUCGCUAUUUACGAAAGCUUAAAGAAGUAUCUGAAGGAAGCGCCAUUAGCUGCUUCUACAAAUGGGACUGAGAAAAAUUCCACCAAUUUUUUUGGACUUAUGGCAGCUGCGGCUCUUUCUAAGGGAUGCGCCUCGUGUGUCGCGUACCCACACGGUAGGUUCUGCUUUGCCCUCCGGCGCAGUAAAACCGCCGACACUUUGUGUCGGUGUGUCUAGACCUCUAGCUCGGCGGCCGGUGCAGACACCCACAGGUAUCGCGCAGUAACUGGGGCCCAGCACAGCCGGCUGCGGCCCCUGUGUGCAGGUCAUGAGGGCAGGGGAACCCUGCUCUGAGCUCCAGCUGAUUGCAGCCAAAACGUGCCUGGGCACAAUGUGAGCCCUGUCUUGUGGAACUUCUGAUGUUUUCAAAGAAGCCAGAAAUCUGGAUUUUAUUAAAAUACCUCAAUUUACAAAAGUGAUGUGGGAGCCAAGCUUUGGGGGAGAAACUCCCUCUCAGCUUCCACUUUGAAUGGAGCGCUGAGGAAGCCUACCUUGGAAGUCAUAAGGACACGGCUCCGGGAGGAGGGCACCAAGUACAAGUCCUUCGUCCAGACUGCUCGGCUGGUCUUCCGGGAAGAAGGCUACCUCGCCUUCUACAGAGGACUCUUUGCCCAGCUCAUCCGGCAGAUCCCAAACACCGCUAUUGUGUUGUCUACCUACGAGUUGAUUGUGUACCUGUUAGAAGACCACGUUCAGUAGCAGGCCAGAAAAUUGUGCUCUAGAAGAAUAAAACUGAAAAACUCUUGAGAAUUUUUUUUUCCUCUGUUGCUGUUUAGAAUGUUUGAGACCGAAGCAGGAAAGGCCGUCGAGUGUCUGGCUCCUUAUCACCUGUUGGACAUUCCUUUUGGACUCGUGCGUUCUGGAAGGUUUCGAUGCGUUAACGUUAACAGUUAAUUAUAACUCUUGGUUUGUUUCUCUUUUUUUAACUUAAGAGGAUUCAGGAUUAAGCAGCCAGUAAAUUAAAUCAUGCUAUUUAAUUUAAGUAUA